Molecule: long non-coding RNA, 1357 nt
Organism: Esox lucius (northern pike)
Lineage: Eukaryota; Metazoa; Chordata; Actinopteri; Esociformes; Esocidae
Exons: 5
Source: RefSeq, a predicted model, not a curated record
AUGAACGGGGGCUUGGCGAGGUGCAUUCUGGAGCCAUUGUGGAGCUUAACGCUCUCUGGUUUUCUUUGUGCUGUGAAGCCUGUGCUACUGUAAUAGCCGGGGGCAGAAAAAAGCUGUCUGUCGUCGGGCCGGCUAGCAACACUUGUUUCACCCGCACGUCAAGCAGGGCAAAGAGAAUAGAGCAAAGGCAGCUGGCAAGCUGAACAGAGAGUGUAAUGGUAACAGUGUCAACAGCUGCCUCCGCGGCCACAGAGGGCAAAUGGCCGGCACCAACAGAACCGAGGGCUUUAUGCUGGAAGCUCAGUCAUUACAGAGGCGAUGACAAGAUGGCCGCCGUGUAAUGCUAAGUAAACAGAGGGUAGAGUGAAGAGGUGACUGGCAGCUGGAGACACGGACGUGUGGAAGAGAAAGACAUAGGCAAGUAGAAUUCUCCAAGCUGUUCUCCCAGGCUGUAACACUGACCUCUACCUCAGGUCAAGAUGACCCCCUCAAGAGUCAAUAAAUCAAGAUGUCACCUCUCACACCCAGUUCCCUCUGCUAUCACUAACUUUGAGAGUCCCAAGAAUUCUUUCACUUCCCCUGCGUCAUGGCUGACCCUGAGUCCAAACAAACCGCCUGUCAUCGCCGCAGCGACAGGAAUAUACAUUGCAGAGGGAAUCAUCAAUCCGGUUACCUGUCACAGAGGACGAAUCGCAAUUCCCAUUCCUGCCGACAUUACGUGAUUUCAUUUAUUGAGAUUAUCUGCAACUAUAUAGAACCCAGGAUUAUUUCUCAGGUCCAGUGGUCUGCGCGAAGGGAUUUUUCUGGAUGGGGCAGGUGCAAAUGUAUUCCUCGGGGAAGUGCUGCGAUGUCCAUCCUCCAGUCGAGUCCCAUCCUCCUCCCAAUCAGCCCCAGCUUGAAAACUUUCCCUGGCACUGCACCCUCAUGCUGGGAGACACCGCUGAGUGUGGUCUGAAAUUAUUCCUCAUUUGAGGGACUCGUAGUUCGUAGGAUUUCCAUUAAAACUUGCCACUACACUGCAAGGCCUGCCUUUUUAUUUUGGAUGAUAGUUUACUGGACAAAUGUGUCGGUCCAUUCCAAACGCGGUCCAACUGGGCCAGAAUGUGUCUGUUGUUACAGUGAUGUCUGCUGCGGUCAGCUUUGUUUUUUCACUUCGGGCACCUGUGGUUGGACAAUUCUUACGAACUAGAUAAAUGACAACAAAGAAAUGCCAUUAAAUAUAUCCAUUAUGAUUUCCAAAUUUGUGGUGUUGUUUGAUGAAAAUGAUCAAUAAAAUGUUAUAUCCAAUGCUGAAAGACUGGGGCAGGAAAUGUACCGGUCAUGUAUGCAAAUGAUGAUUUGGGGUGAAACUGACAAU